Molecule: ribosomal RNA, 320 nt
Filed under: uncultured Tremula
Lineage: Eukaryota; Cercozoa
Description: SSU rRNA
Rfam family: Eukaryotic small subunit ribosomal RNA (bases 103-320)
Source: RNAcentral
GAUUUCUGGUACGGCGCACUUGGCCCGCUUCGGUUACGAGGUUGAGUGCCGGUGUGCGCCUGCCAUCCUUCUGGAGUACGUCACUCCCUUCACUGGGUUGUGUCGGAAUCCAGAUCAUUUACUUUGAAAAAAUUAGAGUGUUUAAAGCAGGCUUACGCUAUGAAUACAUUAGCAUGGAAUAAUAAUUUAGGACUUUGGUCUUAUUUUGUUGGUUUCUAGGACUAAAGUAAUGAUUGAUAGGGAUAGUUGGGGGUGCUAGUAUUCAGCGGCCAGAGGUGAAAUUCUUGGAUUCGCUGAAGACUAACUUAUGCGAAAGCAUU